CAGGCGUUGUCAACCGGCGAGACGAAUUGAUGAAACUGCUUUCCAAAGAACAAUCGCUCUCAGUUCUCACAACCCGAGCGUCGCUGACCACUGGCCAUUACUAAUUCCUCCCUACAACUGACCAGUCUUCCGACAUCCUUAACGUAAGCCAUCUACGCAGGCCCCUAUAUUUUCCACACAGGCCUUGAGACAUCGGGUGAAAGCCGUCCUAAAGAUUCACGGGAGGGUAAUGGAAGGUCGACAGGUCAAGCAUGUCAUCCCACCCCUAUAAACCAGGGCAGUAGGACCGGUGUGUGCAUUCAUCAUUUCCCGACUGAAGUACCUACACAUCUACAGGUAUUGAACAGCUUCUGCUUUUCGACACCCAGGCUUCAUAUACAGACAGCAUCAUGCCACGCGAGAUGGAGAAGGCGAAAGCCAUCUAUGUCAAAAGUUGUGAGGCAUGCCACGUGAGUUACGCCUCGGUCACCACGGAGAAGACAAAAGUAGGACAGACAUGCCCCAAACAGAUUCCAGUCGAGUCCCCUCUUCUCUCCGAAACUUCAUUUCCCUCAAGGGAGAUAACCUUGACAAAAUUUAUUGAUAUUAUCAACUGAAACUGUAUUUGUAUUCGAUGAAGUAUGAAUAAACACAAUU
Molecule: long non-coding RNA, 636 nt
Filed under: Haliotis rufescens (red abalone)
Lineage: Eukaryota; Metazoa; Mollusca; Gastropoda; Lepetellida; Haliotidae
Description: uncharacterized LOC125377813
Source: RNAcentral